This is a non-coding RNA of Delphinapterus leucas (beluga whale), 2505 nucleotides long. The record is from RefSeq and is a predicted model, not a curated record. NCBI's taxonomy places the organism in Eukaryota, Metazoa, Chordata, Mammalia, Artiodactyla, Monodontidae.
AUGUUACACGUCAACCAGAAACAAGGUGUUCAAGAAGGAUCAGUGAAACGUCUGCAUUUCCAGGGAAGAAACAGGAGAGAAGUCUAUUUUUGUCCCAAACGCCACAACCACGAAAAUUUGCAAGAGAAUCUUAAUGUUUUUCAAACGGAGCUUGAGAAACUCUCCGCGGCCGUGGCAGCGGCUGCUCUUCUCCGGGUUCUGUCACGGUGGCCUGUGGUGCCCAGCUCUCCGGUCCCCUCCCCCUUCCGGCGAGAGUGGUCGCCAGGGAGGCCCUCUCAGCCCUGCUCUGCGGGGUCCACAGGGGGGCGUGGGUGCUGGGCGGCGGCGAGCCGGUGGGCAGUGGGGCUUGUUCCCGGGGCCCCCGGCGCCCGGUGCAGAACGGCGGCGGCGGUUCGCGUGAACAUCCAGGUGCUGCUGGGGGCGGCCGACCGCCUGGAGCGGCGGGAGAGAGAAGCUGAACACGGUAUGCCUCCAUGUUACCGUGCAAUAACAAGGACAGAGAUGCCUUAAAACGGAGGAGCAAAUCCCACAAGACUGAGCUGCUCUCCCUGUUCCAUAAUAACAGCAGUAGCAGAUCUGUUCACAGUGAAAUGGAGAAGAAUAGACGGGCCCACCCUGGCUUGUGCCUGGAAAAGUUGAAGGGGCUGAUGCCACUUGGUCCGGAAUCAAAUGGACACACUACGUUGAGUUUAUUAACAAAAGCAAAAUUGCACAUAAAGACACUUGAAGGUUGUGACAGAAAAGCCAUUCACCAAAUAGACCAGCUUCAGCGAGAGCAGUGACACCUGAAGAGGCAGCUGGAGAAGCUGGGCAUCGAGAGGAUACAGAUGGACAGCACAGGCUCCACCGUCUCCUCGGAGCCUCCAACUCCGACGGGGAAGAGAGGAAUGUGGACGCCGAAAGCACAGACUGCCUCACGGGCGACCUGGCCUGGAGCCGCAGCAGCGCGAGCGACUCAGACGAGCGGGGAAGCAUGCAGCGCCUGGGCAGCGAGGAGGGCUACUCCAGCUCCAGCAUCAAGAGAAGAAAGCUCCAGGACGGCCACAAGACACGUCUUGGUCUCUAGGAGAGCGUGGUCGCUUCGGCUGCCGCCCGGGUGGUCCUCCCCGUCGGUUCUGAUUAGGUAGCUUAUCGGACCUGCUCAAAAUUCCCUCGCACGUCGGCCUCCGUGUACCACCGUCACCAAAAGCAGCUGUGUGAAAGUUGUCAAGGAAGUGCUUAGGAUUGUGGGUUUCUUUUCUUUUCUUUUCUUUUUCUUUUUUAAAUUUAAGUCCCAUCCCCAUCUUUAAUGGGGUUGAGCGGGCCCCCGCACCUGCUGGCGUAGGGUAGGCACAGCUGAGCCAGUCAGUGCAGCCUGGACACCUAAGGGCAUCACAGACCCGUUAUUGCUCCGUCUGGGGUGGCUGAAUGCCACUCGUCCCUCUAAGAAGUUGGAGGACACAGACCAGGAUUGUGGGUUUCUGAUUGCAUCCUCUAGCUUCUCUCUUUCUCUCCGUAAAAAUUCGUCUCUGAGAGACUGUACAUUCCAAUCAAUUUGAACCACCCAAGAAUUCUUAGGCCGAAUAAGACUUCUCACGUCUCGGCCAUUUCCCCCCUUUUAUUUACUGUCCCCGUGUAGUCUACCAGACCUUCCUUAAAGUUCUCUGGCUUCCUAUGUGACUUGCCUAGCAGAAAUGUCCGAAUGUGUCUUGCGCUUAGGAAACUGAAGGAAACAAACUUUUAAAGUUGAGAUCCUGAUCUCAAAACUUCAAAGUAAGCUUUGAAAGUGGGAUUUAAGAGCGCUUAACCAUGGCCCUCACCGCCCGUGAGCAGGCAGGAAUACCUCCAGAAAACACACCCUUCACACACACCCCGCGCCAACGCCCCCGACCCGGGUGUGGAUGGGAGCAGUAUUUCUCACUCUCAAAUGGACCCCUUGCGAACACGUCUUUGGGGUAGCACAGCUAAUAAAAGUUCCAACAUCGUUUGUUCUCACAAACAGAACGGUACAAUCUAUUUUUGUGCGCAGUUCUUGGGAUCGUGCUGUGUCCCGCUCUCCCAAGACACAUUUCCCCUCCAAGUCGGUUAUGCUCCUGGUCUCUGGAACAUUUUUUUUCCCCUACCUCAGAGAUAAAUGAGAUCUCCAUUUCCCACUUAACACAAACUGAUUAUGCCUCUUUUUUUGUUUGUUUUUUUCUGAAUAAGUGACAUUUGGUCCAAUUCUAACCUAUUUUCCUGUUUAACUUUCAGCAAUAACUGAGCUUUGGUGCUAGCUGAGCUAGUGUGCAACAUCAGUGAAAAGAAAAGUCCACAUUUCUCCUCUCUGUUGCAGGUGAACAGGAGGGGAUGGUACAGCAUUACGAGAAUUCCUCUCCUUAUUGAUUAUUUUUGGACACACCCAGAAACUUCUUUAAGGAGGCUUUUGGGUUAAUAGUUUAAAAGGCUGAUUUUUCUUUUUGGUUAUGAUUUCUCCCUUAAGUCGUCUCCCACUUUGUAGCAUUUUUGUUUAAGCUAAAACAGAGCACA